UAGGGAAUAUUAGAAAUGGACGAAAGUCUGAUCUAGCAACACCGCGUGUGCGAAGAAGGCCUUCGGGUCGUAAAGCACUUUUUGGAAGGAAUAGGAAGGAAUGUACUUCCGGAAUAAGUCUCGGCUAACUACGUGCCAGCAGCCGCGGUAACACGUAGGAGGCGAACGUUAUCCGGAUUUACUGGGCGUAAAGCGCGUGUAGGUGGUACUGUAAGUAGGGCGUGAAAGCUCCUGGCUCAACUGGGAGAGGCCGUUCUAAACUACAGAACUAGAGGGUGGUAGAGGGGGGGGGGAUUCCAGGGGGAGCGGGGGAAUGCGCAGAUAUCCGGAGGAACACCGGUGGCGGAGGCGGCCUCCU
Molecule: ribosomal RNA, 358 nt
Filed under: uncultured bacterium
Lineage: Bacteria
Description: partial 16S ribosomal RNA
Rfam family: Bacterial small subunit ribosomal RNA
Source: RNAcentral